GUUUCCCAGCGAGCUGGAAGAAGCGGCGGCUGCACCAGCUCGGGAAGCUCGAGGGGGCCGGGCCAGGAGCAGCAGCCACGCGCGCCCAUUGGCUGGCCGGAGGAGACAAAGGCCCCUUUGUUGUCUUUCAAUGGCAUCGCUGGCAAGUGGACAAUAUAUCUAAGCAGCGGGAAUCAUCGCUUCCAUGGGAAAGGGCAGCAACUUUCCCCUGGUGACCCCAUGGCUUCUCUGGCUACCCGCAGCUGUGUAACCCAACAGAAGGCAAGCCAAUGUGGCCCAUGA
Molecule: long non-coding RNA, 282 nt
Organism: Lacerta agilis (Sand lizard)
Lineage: Eukaryota; Metazoa; Chordata; Lepidosauria; Squamata; Lacertidae
Exons: 3
Source: RefSeq, a predicted model, not a curated record